UAAGGACUCUCUGGGGGCCUCCUAUCAAUCAGGACAUCUUCCUCCCCAUUGCCUCUGAGUGGGACAGCCCCAAAUCCCCAUCUUACCACUGUUUCCUCAGACUACUUACAUUCGUUCUGGUCCUUGAAGAAGCAGACACCAAGACAGGACUCUAUGUGCAAGAGAUUUAUGGGGGACACCUGUGAGGGAAGAUGGGCGGGGAGCCAGGGGGAAGUUGGGAGGGACGUCAGAUUGUGACAUAGUUUGGACCCUGCGGAGGAGAGAGGGCAGGACAGAAGGUGGGGUGAAGAGUCUCAGGUUGUGGUUCAGAUAUAAGAAAGUAGCAAGCCCUUGGGGAAUCCUUGUGCCAAUUUGUCUGUCGGGGGGGGUCUUGCAUCUCCAAGAGGGGACCUGCCGGAGUCAAUGGCUGGAAGCAGCCUGAGGGCCUCAGUGCAAACAGCGAUGGCCAUGAUCCAGGCACAGCAGCAGGGACCAGUCUGAAAUCUGAGAGGCGCGUUUGCACGGCCACCACCAAAGGUCUGGGGGCUUAUCUCUUUUGGAGUUCUGGACCCAAAGGAACAAAGAUGUCAGCAUUUUCUACCUCAGGCCAGGCUGGGCGCUGUUCUGCUCCCGAGGAGUCUCUGGGUAAGAUGCAGCACAGACCCAGAGAGCUCGCAACCAAAAGAAGAGACAGACUAUGGUGCACAGAAUAACGUCCCCCACCCCAGCCUCCUGAAGAUGUCCACGUCCUGAUGCCCAGAAUCUGUGAACAUGCCGCCUGACGUGCAAAGGAGAAUUAAGGCUGCUAAUCAGCUGACCUCAAGAGGUUACCCUGGAUGGCCCAGCGCCAUCACAAGGGUUCUUAGAAGUGGA
Molecule: long non-coding RNA, 852 nt
Filed under: Equus asinus (donkey)
Lineage: Eukaryota; Metazoa; Chordata; Mammalia; Perissodactyla; Equidae
Description: lncRNA (ENSEASG00005034561.1)
Source: RNAcentral